CAGCAGCCGCGGUAAUACGAAGGGUGCAAGCGUUACUCGGAAUUACUGGGCGUAAAGCGUGCGUAGGUGGUGGUUUAAGUCCGUUGUGAAAGCCCUGGGCUCAACCUGGGAAUUGCAGUGGAUACUGGGUCACUAGAGUGUGGUAGAGGAUAGUGGAAUUUCCGGUGUAGCAGUGAAAUGCGUAGAUAUUGGGAGGAACACCGGCGGCGAAGGCGGCUUACUGGACGACAACUGACGUUGAGGCUCGAAGGCGUGGGUAGCAAACAGGAUUAGAUACCCCUGUAGUCCCUGUCUCUUAUAC
This 301-nucleotide ribosomal RNA is filed under the name uncultured bacterium. RNAcentral's name for it is "partial 16S ribosomal RNA". It matches the Rfam family "Bacterial small subunit ribosomal RNA", at positions 509 to 807 of the family's 1533-position model. The record is from RNAcentral.